AGUUUGAUCCUGGCUCAGGAUGAACGCUAGCUACAGGCUUAACACAUGCAAGUCGAGGGGCAGCAUUUUAGUUUGCUUGCAAACUAAAGAUGGCGACCGGCGCACGGGUGAGUAACACGUAUCCAACCUGCCGAUAACUCGGGGAUAGCCUUUCGAAAGAAAGAUUAAUAUCCGAUAGUAUAUUAAAACCGCAUGGUUUUACUAUUAAAGAAUUUCGGUUAUCGAUGGGGAUGCGUUCCAUUAGUUUGUUGGCGGGGUAACGGCCCACCAAGACUACGAUGGAUAGGGGUUCUGAGAGGAAGGUCCCCCACAUUGGAACUGAGACACGGUCCAAACUCCUACGGGAGGCAGCAGUGAGGAAUAUUGGUCAAUGGACGAGAGUCUGAACCAGCCAAGUAGCGUGAAGGAUGACUGCCCUAUGGGUUGUAAACUUCUUUUAUAUGGGAAUAAAGUAUUCCACGUGUGGAAUUUUGUAUGUACCAUAUGAAUAAGGAUCGGCUAACUCCGUGCCAGCAGCCGCGGUAAUACGGAGGAUCCGAGCGUUAUCCGGAUUUAUUGGGUUUAAAGGGAGCGUAGGUGGAUUGUUAAGUCAGUUGUGAAAGUUUGCGGCUCAACCGUAAAAUUGCAGUUGAAACUGGCAGUCUUGAGUACAGUAGAGGUGGGCGGAAUUCGUGGUGUAGCGGUGAAAUGCUUAGAUAUCACGAAGAACUCCGAUUGCGAAGGCAGCUCACUAGACUGCAACUGACACUGAUGCUCGAAAGUGUGGGUAUCAAACAGGAUUAGAUACCCUGGUAGUCCACACAGUAAACGAUGAAUACUCGCUGUUUGCGAUAUACAGUAA
Molecule: ribosomal RNA, 841 nt
Filed under: uncultured Bacteroides sp.
Lineage: Bacteria; Pseudomonadati; Bacteroidota; Bacteroidia; Bacteroidales; Bacteroidaceae
Description: bacterial SSU rRNA
Rfam family: Bacterial small subunit ribosomal RNA
Source: RNAcentral